Molecule: long non-coding RNA, 5383 nt
Organism: Numida meleagris (helmeted guineafowl)
Lineage: Eukaryota; Metazoa; Chordata; Aves; Galliformes; Numididae
Exons: 3
Source: RefSeq, a predicted model, not a curated record
AUAAACCACAUGUAAACAAUGGCAAAAGAAGAUGGGAAAUGUUUAAAAGUUUCUGGCUGAGGAGCAUCAGCGGGCUCCUGGGAUGGUCUGAGGGAGGUGAAUGAGGAGCCCAACAACUGAGGAUGGCUGAAGAGACCCAUCCAAGUGCUUAACUUGAAAGAGGACGACAAUGGAUUUAUUCAUGAAAAAAUAGAUUUGCUUUCCUGGAAACUUGGAGAACAACUGUUAUUGGCUUUAAUUUUGUCUUACAGAAAUGGUUGGUCAGAGGCAUCUGAGAAAAGACCAGAAGUGUUUGGGAGGUGAGGUGAGAUUGCUGCAGUCAGAUUGCCCAGGCUGCACAUUAUCACACAGUGGCUCUUUUGAAGUUUGGGAGGAAACUUUGUUGUGUGUGGGAAAGGCAGUGUAUGUUGUCCAGAGCUUGAUGAGCGUUUUCAGUCUCAAGUAAUGUUGUGGGAUAGCAGCUGUGUGGGUUUUAAAUGAAUUAGUUCAGUGCAGCAGAAAACCACGAAGCUUGAAACCAGCAGAAGCUGUUUUCAGCCAGACAUGGAUCUGCAGACAGAUUUGUGGAAGUGCUGAGUAUUUGGGAAGAUGUAGGGAGAUCUGGUGAAACACCUCAUACUGGGGUGCUCCUUCACAAACUAUACGCGUAACACACUGCAUCGUUUCAGUGUUCCCCUGUCCCAUGACCUCAUGCUGGGUAAGAGAAGCCAUCACCUCAAAAAAUAGUGCUAAUAGGGAAAGAAGAGCCCAUCUGUUUUCUCUGACACAUCGUAUAGUCUAUUGAUAGUCUGUAUCCAACUUGAAUGGCUCCUUAGUUUAGAGGGGCUGAAAGCUUGUAGAUCAUUUUCCCAUAUGUGUCUGGCUCGGGGCUCUGUUGUAGCUCUCGCUCAGAGCUGCUCUGCCUGCACAGUCUGCUUGUUAGUGCUAAGUUAUCAGGGAUAUCUGGAGAACUGGUUUGUUGCUCUUUCAGUAAAAUGCAAACUCUCUUCCCUGGAUUAAAACCUAAGAAACUUUCCCUAUAUCCAUGGAAGGAGGUACCCUGAGCGUUCUUAAAAAAAAAAAAAAAAACAUAUUUGUGGGUGAGACUCUGGAAGGUAGGAAAGAAAUGGCUUCUCUCGCAAACACAUGCAGAUUCAAAAAAUCUCCACAAUACUUGAAACAUUAAAACUUUGGACUGAUUCCCUAAGAGCUGUAGUCAUACCCCUGAGAGGAGAAGGAUGUUGAGUCAUAGUGAAGAAAGGAAAGAAAAGCGGAAUGUUUUUUCUAUUACAAUCAUUACAGAGGUCAGACGCAACCAAGACAGACAGAUGAACAACAAAAACACUGGUUAAGUGAUUCAGAAGGGUAGGUUUUCUGGAAUUAGCCAGAAACAUUUCAAGGACUCCGAAAAAAAUAUGGAAAUGGAUUGUCAUUCCAAUUUAUCUGAGCAUACGUGCCUUUCUAGUCUAAUGCCUCAAGAAGGAUUAACUUUUAAAUGAUUUGAUGGAAACCUUGUGAAGGACUUACACUUCGGCUAUCUGAAGGCUAUCGUAAAUAUGUCAGCAGCAGAACAGUGAAUGAUAACAUUAUGUUUUGCUUUCGAAGUAUCUGACAGUGGCAAAAAGACUUGAGAGCAUGUGAUCCUUUGCGGUAUGGUAUAACAUGACCUUAUUUUAAAACAACUAAGUAAGCCACUGUUUUGCUUAAAUAACUUCUUCAUUAUGAUCACCCAGUUUGCUUUUGUUACGCAGGAAGAUUGCAAAAGUGCGUGAUGUAUUUGAAGGCUUGGUUAAGACUGGAAAGCCUACCAAAAUUAGGAAAGAACAUCAUCCAUUCAAAUACUUGGCUAGGUUUUAAUUUCACAACAUACUGUUGUUAUUGUAACCUACUGCUUCUAUAUUGAUCGUAAAAUUACUUGCCAGGAAAAGCGUUUGACUGUUCAAUGUAUUAAUUGCUAUUACUCUUAUUAUAUCUUUCUGGGAAAAAAAAAAGGGAUUUAUUUUUUGGAGGUUGUAUGUUUUCCCAUUUGUAACAACAGAGGAAAAAUUGAUUCAGUGCCUGCUUCUGUUUAGAACUGCAAAUUAAAUGCCUCACAACAGAAGCUGUUCAGUUUCUGGUACUGAUUACCAGGUUGGAGGCUCAUCUGAGAAGGUGGAGCGAUCGCAAGUCUGCACGUCACUGCGGUGAUCCAGUGGGAGGAGGCAGCCCGCCUGGGCCCUUCAGCCGUCGAUCUGGAUUUCCUCCUGUGUGCAGGCGAUUGGCCACUCAGUGCAUGGUUCGCUUGGGUGUGACUGCGAGCCCUGCUCAGUUCUGUGAAAGUCACAAAGAGCCCAGAAUUGCUACGUACAGCAAAAGGUAACCCGAUAAUGCAUUGAAGACACAGGAGCUAUCACCACCGACGUGUCAAAAACAAGAAAUAUACCUGCAUGUCUCUGUACUGGGUCUGUCUGAGAUGGAGUCCCUUCUCAAAAAAUUAAAUAAUAGGUUAUGUACAAAGUAGUGGUCGUCUCUUGUUGGGAGGAUGAACAGCAAGUUUACAUUUGGAAAGUGUACUUGCAAACCUGGAACUGGUUGUAGAAAUGACAUUAUUGAUUAUAUAGUGUCAUUUCCUGAUGGCUUGGUUCUGUGUUAGUCUUUUGUUAAUCUUUUGAGUGUAUUGCCUAGGUACAGUAAUCAUCUUGAUUGUUUCCUGUUCCUGCUUUCCUUUUCCCUUCUUUGGACAGUUGAUGAUCCACAACUCACAGCUUUUUCCAGAAACAUUUUGCAGCUGUAUUUCUCGCAGUGCAAAGUAGGAGCUUCUUGAAAACACUUUAGAAGAGAGUUUAUCUCGGGAACAUGGUUUCUUAUCCGCUUUUCCCUUGCAGAAUCACAGGAUGGAAGAGUCUGGCAGGGCCCUCUGGGUCCACCUGGCCCAAGCCCUGCUCCAGCAGGGACACCCACAGCAGGGUGCCCAGGGCCAUGACCAGGCAACUUUUGGACAUCUCUAAGGAUGAGAUUUCACAGCCUCUAUGGGCAGCUUGUGCCAGUACCGAAGUGCUUCCUGGUGUUCAGAGGGAACCUUCUGUGCUCCAGUUUGUACCUGUUGCCUCUUGACCUGGUGCUGGCACCACUGAAAAGAGGCAGGUUCCAUCCUCUCUGCACCCUCCCUUCAGUUAUUUGUAUACAUUGAUGAGAUCACUUUGAGCCUUCCCUUGUCUGGGAUGAAGUACUGAGGAAGGGCUGAAGUAGGCACAGCUCCCUAGUCAGCGACUAAGCUGCCUUAUCUACUCAGCAAAAACCUCUGAUGCAUUUCUGCUACUUUCUAACAACUACAACAUUUUUUGAGACAUGCUUUUUGUCAGCCAAAUGUGUAAAUGUUACAAUUACUGUCAGUGUAGAUCUAGGGUUUUUGUUGGGGCCUGGACACUGUCCCAGGCAGAGCUUAUCUUGCUUGAGAGGUUUUCAAGAGACUCCACAAAAACACCCCCAAAUGUUGGUGAAUACUUAUUUAGAUAUAUUGGAUCACAGUCCAGUAUAUUCCUUUAUGCCUUGGGCUAUAUUCAAAAUCCAAACUGCACAGAUGUAUGUUAGGUUUGAGCACAGUUGUGAAAAGCAGCCUGCAUGUUGGUGAUAGGUUCUGAUGUAUAUUUUGUAUCUUUCCUGAAAUGAAACCCUAUCUUCUGUUUGCAGAGCUCACGCAGGGGCUUCAGUCCUCUGAAAAACACAGUUUGACUGCUCUACCUCUCAAUAAACAUUUGGAGGGAGGGGUGUACAUUGCUCACAGGAGCUGUUUGGUCCAGGGCGGGCUGUACCAACACAUUGCCUGCUUCUCACCUCCCCCACAUAGGAGUCACUUGGAAAAUUUGGGAUUCUGGUGUUCAUGUGGAGUUAUGCAAGUCACAGUCAAGCUGUUUAAAUCUCCGCGUGCAGCCCCAGCAGAACAUGGCAGUGUUUAGUGCUGAUAAGAUAUGAGUCUGCAGUUCUGAGUGCUUGCUGACAAGCAUUCCUACCACGUGAGAGCAAGUUAUUGCUGAAGAAAAUGUGAAUGCCUUACACUCUAUGACAAUGUUGCAAAUCAGAAAUAGUUGUAGUUACCUCAUGCUAGUUCCCUCUAAGGCAGAUCCUAAGGUUCCAGUUAAAUGUUUAUGAAUCAGUACCUUGGCAAAAAAAGACACCACCUGUCACAUUUUGUCUAAACUCUCAGAAAACUGGGAAAAUGUGCUGAAUGAGGCAGUUAGUGACGGUGUCAUACAGGAAUUACUGCAUGACACCGUGAGUUAUGAUAUACUGCACAUUCCUUUCUGGCAGAGAAACAGAGCAGAAACUGCACAGCUGACUGAGUGUGAGGAGGAGAAAUCUGAACAUCAUCAUUUAAGUAAGAAAAAUGUGUAAUUUUUUCAGGCAAAGUAGAAACAGAUACAACAGAUUCAUUUCCUAUGAACUUAAAAAGCAGGUGCAGAAUUUUCAUGUAGAUACACAGGAGUUACAGUUGCCUUAAUAAUAGAUUGUAAGGUGUAGGAAAAAAUGCAAAAAUGGUCCAGGGAUGUUUUUAAAAAUGCUUCUGGAGCAAAGUAAUAAAUGGAAGAGCAGCAUUCAGGAUGGCAGAUGCAGUGCCACUCCAGGUAAGAACACAGGCUUUGGGAUUGGAGUUCACAGUACAGGAGGCUGUUUGUGCAAGAUUACCCAGCUCUAGGGUUGUGUGCUAAAUACUGCAAAGAGAGAGUGAGAUGGAAUAUAGUAUACAUAGAGUCCCUCAUCUGCUAAGACAUUUAACAUAUGUCAUCAGGCAGAUGAGUCGUCUGACUGAGAUCUGGAUGAGCAAGCCUUUAAAAAUCUAUUGGACACUUACACUGCUAAGUUACAUAUCAAGAAAUAUGAUUCUAUUACAUGUGAUUCCAGGAAAUAUCAGGGAUUUUUUUCCCCAUCGCUUUCAUUUGUGUUAUUUUAGUACUGCUUGGUGGGACUCGGUGGGACAAAUGCUCUUGUGUAAUAAUCAAUAACGGUGAAUUGUACUGUCUUUGAAUAACCUGCAGAUCUUUAUACAAGCCUUCUAAACCGUCUGUCAAAGUUCAUUCAGAUGAGAUCAGAUAAAGUACAAAACGAUACAUAAAUAAAAUACAGUUUGAGGUUGCAGCCAUUUUGUCUUAUCACUUUGCCCGGGAGAGGUCAUGUGUCAUAACUGUGUUUAUUGGGAUUAGUGGCUGUCUUUCUACCAACGAGAAAUGUGUAACUGCCUUUAUGCUGCUGGCAGUUGUAUUGUGCCACGGAAGCCUUGUUUCUGUCCGGACGUGAGCAGCCUGCUUGUUUCUUCGUUAUUUGCCAAUUGCAGUGGAAAUGAUGCGGCACAAAAAAACUGCUGACUGAAGAGUCUGUUGUAUUUUCUAGGUACUUUCUGGUUUUGAAAUAAAACUAAAGAUUAUUGCAA